RNAcentral lists this ribosomal RNA (419 nucleotides) under bacterium. RNAcentral describes it as "partial 16S ribosomal RNA". It matches the Rfam family "Bacterial small subunit ribosomal RNA", at positions 355 to 776 of the family's 1533-position model. The record is from RNAcentral.
UGGGGGAUAUUGCACAAUGGGCGAAAGCCUGAUGCAGCGACGCCGCGUGGGGGAUGAAGGCCUUCGGGUUGUAAACUUCUUUUGCUCUGAACAAGGCAUGCUAAUGGGUGUGUUGAGUGUAGGGGUUGAUUAGCGCCGGCUAACUACGUGCCAGCAGCCGCGGUAAUACGUAGGGCGCGAGCGUUGUCCGGAAUUAUUGGGCGUAAAGGGCUUGUAGGUGGCUGGUUGCGUCUGUCGUGAAAGCUCAUGGCUUAACUGUGGGUUUGCGGUGGGUACGGGCUGGCUUGAGUGCAGUAGGGGAGGCUGGAAUUCCUGGUGUAGCGGUGGAAUGCGCAGAUAUCAGGAGGAAUACCGGUGGCGAAGGCGGGUCUCUGGGCUGUUACUGACACUGAGGAGCGAAAGCAUGGGGAGCGAACGGG